Molecule: ribosomal RNA, 253 nt
Filed under: uncultured bacterium
Lineage: Bacteria
Description: partial 16S ribosomal RNA
Rfam family: Bacterial small subunit ribosomal RNA
Source: RNAcentral
GACAGAGGGUGCAAACGUUGCUCGGAUUUACUGGGCGUAAAGCGCGUGUAGGCGGCUUUGCAAGUCGGAUGUGAAAGCCCACGGCUCAACCGUGGAAGUGCAUCCGAAACUGCAUGGCUUGAGUCUCGGAGAGGAAGGUGGAAUGCUUGGUGUAGAGGUGAAAUUCGUAGAUAUCAAGCAGAACACCUGCGGCGAAGGCGGCCUUCUGGACGAUGACUGACGCUGAGACGCGAAAGCGUGGGGAGCAAACAGG